This 646-nucleotide long non-coding RNA is filed under the name Piliocolobus tephrosceles (Ugandan red Colobus). Its description in RNAcentral is "lncRNA (ENSPTEG00000009973.1)". The record is from RNAcentral. Lineage: Eukaryota; Metazoa; Chordata; Mammalia; Primates; Cercopithecidae.
AUGAACCCAACGAUAUACAAAAAAAAUGACAAAGUAGUGAUCACUAUUAAAAACUUGACAAGCACGACAGCAGUAACAACUUUGGACUAUUUUUCUUUUCCCUUUUGCUCGCCCGCUGAUAAUGCUAACACAAAAAAACUAGUACCUCCUAACAUUUUUAAAAUAUUACUAGGAGAUGAUUUAUACGAUACCAAUAUAGACACAACGUUUUUAAAUUCAGUCAAAUGUAUCAAUUAUUGUAAUAUUAACAUUACUAAUGAUGUAUAUAAUAAAUAUAAACAUUUAAUUUUAUAUAAUUAUAAUGUUGUAUAUACUGUUGACAAUUUGGAUUUGUUUAGAGAAGACUCAAAGAGAAGGGGAUUUUAUUUUACUGGUAUACCCACUGGUUAUAUAAGAAAUAAACAUUAUUACCUCUAUAAUUACUAUAAAAUUAGUAUACUAUAUAAUAAUAAUGGAGUAGAUUUAGAUAAAAAUUAUAUUGUAGGUUUUGAGGUGGAGCCUAAAAGGUAACUAUUUGUUAUUCCAGUACGACAUACCAGUAUGUGGUUUGUUUUAUUCUACUACACAACUUUCAUCAUUGUAACUAUUUAUGUCUGUUUACACUUGUUUAUAUUCGCCUAUACAUAUUUAUUUUUUUAUUUAUUUA